This 330-nucleotide long non-coding RNA is filed under the name Bos taurus (domestic cattle). Its description in RNAcentral is "long non-coding RNA NONBTAT000783". The record is from RNAcentral. Lineage: Eukaryota; Metazoa; Chordata; Mammalia; Artiodactyla; Bovidae.
GGUUAAAUAGACAAGAGGAGACCAAAUGGAGGUCCUAACCUUAAAUCAAAUUCCAGAAGAUGUUUUCAAUAUCAAAGGUUAGACCUUUUGAUUCAUAGUAAUGCUAUAUUUUUCUUUGUCUGCCCUGUGAUUUGCUUCAUGUUUUUAAAAGUUUUUUAUGGUAGCUUUAAAGAAAAGAAAAACAAUGUAUUUUUAUUUGAAAAUCAGGCAAAUGGGCAACAUCAUUUGCCGGUCACUUUACACAUAACCAGGAUGUUAGUGUUUCAGCUCUGUUAGUAAGUGACCAAGGGUAGUAUUUCCCUCGUUACACACAAUUCAGCAUCUGUAUUG